GACAGAGGUGCCAAGCGUUAGGCGGAAUCACUGGGCUUAAAGCGUGUGUAGGCGGAUAUCUAAGUACCUUGUGAAAUCCCACGGCUCAACCGUGGAACUGCUUGGUAUACUGGGUGUCUUGAGCCAUCUAGGGGCUACCGGAACAAAUGGUGGAGCGGUGAAAUGCGUAGAUAUCAUUUGGAACGCCAAUGGUGAAAACAGCUCGCUGGGGCUGCGCUGACGCUGAGACACGAAAGCCAGGGGAGCGAACGGG
RNAcentral lists this ribosomal RNA (253 nucleotides) under uncultured bacterium. Its description in RNAcentral is "partial 16S ribosomal RNA". It matches the Rfam family "Bacterial small subunit ribosomal RNA", at positions 524 to 776 of the family's 1533-position model. The record is from RNAcentral.